GGCGGGGAAGGAUGGUUUGUGCUGCUUGGGAGGUGGUAGGACGCCCUGCAGCAACUGAGAUGCGCCCCAAAGAGAGGACUUCUUUCAGACAGACAUGAAGGAAUGCAGGCAUGCAUGAAAGAAGGGAUCUUAAGGAGGGCAAAAAAAAAGUUUCAUGGCUUGGUAAAAGAGGAUAAGAAAAUAAUGAAUUCAAAUACAAAGGAAAGGACAAUUUAAUCUCUGCAUGACACUUAGG
Molecule: long non-coding RNA, 235 nt
Filed under: Apteryx rowi (Okarito brown kiwi)
Lineage: Eukaryota; Metazoa; Chordata; Aves; Apterygiformes; Apterygidae
Description: lncRNA (ENSARWG00000001183.1)
Source: RNAcentral